Molecule: ribosomal RNA, 3050 nt
Filed under: Campylobacter jejuni
Lineage: Bacteria; Pseudomonadati; Campylobacterota; Epsilonproteobacteria; Campylobacterales; Campylobacteraceae
Description: 23S ribosomal RNA
Rfam family: Bacterial large subunit ribosomal RNA
Source: RNAcentral
AAGCUACUAAGAGCGAAUGGUGGAUGCCUUGACUGGUAAAGGCGAUGAAGGACGUACUAGACUGCGAUAAGCUACGGGGAGCUGUCAAGAAGCUUUGAUCCGUAGAUUUCCGAAUGGGGCAACCCAAUGUAUAGAGAUAUACAUUACCUAUAUAGGAGCGAACGAGGGGAAUUGAAACAUCUUAGUACCCUCAGGAAAAGAAAUCAAUAGAGAUUGCGUCAGUAGCGGCGAGCGAAAGCGCAAGAGGGCAAACCCAGUGCUUGCACUGGGGGUUGUAGGACUGCAAUGUGCAAGAGGUAAGUUUAGCAGAACAUUCUGGAAAGUAUAACCAUAGAGGGUGAUAGUCCCGUAUGCGAAAAACAAACCUUAGCUAGCAGUAUCCUGAGUAGGGCGGGACACGAGGAAUCCUGUCUGAAUCCGGGUCGACCACGAUCCAACCCUAAAUACUAAUACCAGAUCGAUAGUGCACAAGUACCGUGAGGGAAAGGUGAAAAGAACUGAGGUGAUCAGAGUGAAAUAGAACCUGAAACCAUUUGCUUACAAUCAUUCAGAGCCCUAUGUAGCAAUACAGGGUGAUGGACUGCCUUUUGCAUAAUGAGCCUGCGAGUUGUGGUGUCUGGCAAGGUUAAGCAAACGCGAAGCCGUAGCGAAAGCGAGUCUGAAUAGGGCGCUUAGUCAGAUGCUGCAGACCCGAAACGAAGUGAUCUAUCCAUGAGCAAGUUGAAGCUAGUGUAAGAACUAGUGGAGGACUGAACCCAUAGGCGUUGAAAAGCCCCGGGAUGACUUGUGGAUAGGGGUGAAAGGCCAAUCAAACUUCGUGAUAGCUGGUUCUCUCCGAAAUAUAUUUAGGUAUAGCGUUGUGUCGUAAUAUAAGGGGGUAGAGCACUGAAUGGGCUAGGGCAUACACCAAUGUACCAAACCCUAUCAAACUCCGAAUACCUUAUAUGUAAUCACAGCAGUCAGGCGGCGAGUGAUAAAAUCCGUCGUCAAGAGGGAAACAACCCAGACUACCAGCUAAGGUCCCUAAGUCUUACUUAAGUGGAAAACGAUGUGAAGUUACUUAAACAACCAGGAGGUUGGCUUAGAAGCAGCCAUCCUUUAAAGAAAGCGUAAUAGCUCACUGGUCUAGUGAUUUUGCGCGGAAAAUAUAACGGGGCUAAAGUAAGUACCGAAGCUGUAGACUUGCACACAACUUAGAUUAUUUAAGUUUAGAAUAUGAGAAACUAAGUUAUAUGUUUAGUUAUAUUUUUACUGAUUUUUAUAGAGUAAAGAUAGAAAUAAAACUUAGUAAAAUCAGUAAAAAUAUUCUUAGACUAAAGUUAAGUAGUUUAAGUUGUGUGCAAGUGGUAGGAGAGCGUUCUAUUUGCGUCGAAGGUAUACCGGUAAGGAGUGCUGGAGCGAAUAGAAGUGAGCAUGCAGGCAUGAGUAGCGAUAAUUAAUGUGAGAAUCAUUAACGCCGUAAACCCAAGGUUUCCUACGCGAUGCUCGUCAUCGUAGGGUUAGUCGGGUCCUAAGUCGAGUCCGAAAGGGGUAGACGAUGGCAAAUUGGUUAAUAUUCCAAUACCAACAUUAGUGUGCGAUGGAAGGACGCUUAGGGCUAAGGGGGCUAGCGGAUGGAAGUGCUAGUCUAAGGUCGUAGGAGGUUAUACAGGCAAAUCCGUAUAACAAUACUCCGAGAACUGAAAGGCUUUUUGAAGUCUUCGGAUGGAUAGAAGAACCCCUGAUGCCGUCGAGCCAAGAAAAGUUUCUAAGUUUAGCUAAUGUUGCCCGUACCGUAAACCGACACAGGUGGGUGGGAUGAGUAUUCUAAGGCGCGUGGAAGAACUCUCUUUAAGGAACUCUGCAAAAUAGCACCGUAUCUUCGGUAUAAGGUGUGGUUAGCUUUGUAUUAGGAUUUACUCCGAAAGCAAGGAAACUUACAACAAAGAGUCCCUCCCGACUGUUUACCAAAAACACAGCACUCUGCUAACUCGUAAGAGGAUGUAUAGGGUGUGACGCCUGCCCGGUGCUCGAAGGUUAAUUGAUGGGGUUAGCAUUAGCGAAGCUCUUGAUCGAAGCCCGAGUAAACGGCGGCCGUAACUAUAACGGUCCUAAGGUAGCGAAAUUCCUUGUCGGUUAAAUACCGACCUGCAUGAAUGGCGUAACGAGAUGGGAGCUGUCUCAAAGAGGGAUCCAGUGAAAUUGUAGUGGAGGUGAAAAUUCCUCCUACCCGCGGCAAGACGGAAAGACCCCGUGGACCUUUACUACAGCUUGACACUGCUACUUGGAUAAGAAUGUGCAGGAUAGGUGGGAGGCUUUGAGUAUAUGACGCCAGUUGUAUAUGAGCCAUUGUUGAGAUACCACUCUUUCUUAUUUGGGUAGCUAACCAGCUUGAGUUAUCCUCAAGUGGGACAAUGUCUGGUGGGUAGUUUGACUGGGGCGGUCGCCUCCCAAAUAAUAACGGAGGCUUACAAAGGUUGGCUCAGAACGGUUGGAAAUCGUUCGUAGAGUAUAAAGGUAUAAGCCAGCUUAACUGCAAGACAUACAAGUCAAGCAGAGACGAAAGUCGGUCUUAGUGAUCCGGUGGUUCUGUGUGGAAGGGCCAUCGCUCAAAGGAUAAAAGGUACCCCGGGGAUAACAGGCUGAUCUCCCCCAAGAGCUCACAUCGACGGGGAGGUUUGGCACCUCGAUGUCGGCUCAUCGCAUCCUGGGGCUGGAGUAGGUCCCAAGGGUAUGGCUGUUCGCCAUUUAAAGCGGUACGCGAGCUGGGUUCAGAACGUCGUGAGACAGUUCGGUCCCUAUCUGCCGUGGGCGUAAGAAGAUUGAAGAGAUUUGACCCUAGUACGAGAGGACCGGGUUGAACAAACCACUGGUGUAGCUGUUGUUCUGCCAAGAGCAUCGCAGCGUAGCUAAGUUUGGAAAGGAUAAACGCUGAAAGCAUCUAAGCGUGAAGCCAACUCUAAGAUGAAUCUUCUCUAAGCUCUCUAGAAGACUACUAGUUUGAUAGGCUGGGUGUGUAAUGGAUGAAAGUCCUUUAGCUGACCAGUACUAAUAGAGCGUUUGGCUUAUCU